AUUCAAUUGCCACUCGUUCUCACCUAUCUUCUAGUUCGCGCCCUUGCCAUCAACAUCUAGUUGUUUUUGUUAUCACUAAUUGCCUCCAUCUAUCUCCGCUCGCCGUCAGAUUAUCCAUUGUCAAAAACCAGACCAAAGCAACACUAAGGGCUGACGAAUUUAAAGGCCCACACACACACAGUGCUCUCCUAGCGAAAGAAAUGGGGGAACUUCUCCUUUUAGGUAAUUCUUCUUCUUCCUCAUCACAAUAUUUAUAGAUAUAAGUGCAUAUACAGACAUAUAUGCAUACACGUAUGUGUGAGAAAUUGUUAUUAUGUUAUGAUUUGGAUUUUGAAAUAGGACUAGUUUGAUAAUAUUAAAAACUGUAAGUGUAUCUUGAUGUGGGUUUAAGCUUUUGUGCUUGUUAAUGAUUUUAAUUUUCAGAAUUUAUGUGAAAAGUCCAUCAAUAUUAGGUCAAAACGUGAAAAUACAUUUGGGUGAUUGAUUGUACAUGUUUGAGUUGUUUGACUAGAAAGGGAUGAAUUCCAAUAAAAUUGUUUGCCACUAUACAUUUUUUUUAUUCAUUUGUAAUCAUUAUGCAAUUAAUUUAUGAUUUUUAUUUGCC
This 604-nucleotide long non-coding RNA is filed under the name Olea europaea subsp. europaea. Lineage: Eukaryota; Viridiplantae; Streptophyta; Magnoliopsida; Lamiales; Oleaceae. The record is from RNAcentral.